CCCACAAUCUUAAUUGAAGCUUUUAAUGUUUUUAAUGCUUCUAAUUAAUUAAAAAAUGGUUAAUAUAAACAAAAAAAUGUGCACAUUGAGUGGAAAACGGGACUCACAAUCUUAAUUGAAGAUUUUAAUACUUUUAAUUAAUUAAAAAAAUGUUAACAUAAGCAAAAAAUGUGCACCUAAUCAAAUUAUCACAUAAAAUCAUAAAAACUUCAAAUUUAGAGAUUCUAUUAUAAGGAUUCUAUCAUUGAAGACAAUAUUUCUUUAGGGUCACAAAUAUUUCCUUUUAAGUCCUUAAAUGAGUACUCAAAAGUGGUGAUGAGAAUACCUAAAUAUGGACCUUCAUUGGAGAUACUGUGUGCAUUUAUUAUUUUUAUUUUUUCUUCCUUGAUUUUAUUCCAAAAUUAGGAAAUAGCUUCUGAAAAACUGAUUUCACACUUUUUUUGUCAUCUAUACUUUUGUUGGAUAGAUUCGUAGAAGGAAGCUUACCUUAAACGACGUCAUUUUGGAAAUAUCUCUUGCUCUUAUCGGAUUCUGAUCUCCAGAGAUGGAGGGGAAUGAGAACAGUUGACCGUUGUAGAGGUCUGAGUCACCUUGUUAAAUCGGCGGUCUUUAUUUUUGUUUUUUUUGAAAUAAACACGAUUUUACGUUACUACCCCUUUCCUCAUUUUCUUUGGUCAACGAUACCCCCUGCUUUCCUCAGUAUAUAUAUAUAUAUAUAUAUAGAUUUUAUUAUAUGAUUUAUAAGCACAAACUAGAAUUUUAAAUUAAUUCCAAGUUAAUACAUAAAUGUUUGUGGGAACAUUUAUUGAAAGAUAGAAUUCUUUUAUUCAAUACAAAAGUUCCAAGAAGUACCUUAAACCAAAUAGAAAGGAAACCACAAAUAUACAUAGUACAAUCAAACAUUAGAAAACAUUAUUCGGAAACGAGCCACUUUCAAUGCAAAUGCUAGUGCCAUCUUGUCUUUGAUGUAGUCGAAGAAUUGAAAUUAGGCAUACCUCCAUGUUGUUUUUAAGAUCAACGUGCCACACAUGCCUCAAAAGCCUACGAUGAACCAAGUACUACACUAACAUAAAACCACAACUUAUCAUCAUUUCUCACUUCAUUCUUGUCCCUUCCAUCCUUAGCUCACACACAGAAGGUCAUGAACACAUUCAUGUAACCUUGUUAAAAAAUAAAGCACAAAAAACCUCUUUAACGCCAAUUCAACAUCAAAUUAAAAGAAAAUACCGAGUCCUUUCUUUCAAAUUAACAUCAUCCAACAGCAAGCUCAAUCUUUACAUUCAAAAUUACAAUUUCUGUCGAGCCAUCAAAAUUGUUAUCCAGCCACAGCUACAUGCGAAAACUGCCAUUACGAGCCACUUUCGCAACCAACUUGGUCUCAAUCUAUAGCAGCAUUGCCAAUUUGCCAGAAGAUAUUAAGCUAUAGUAAGUUAAUUACAACUAUAUCAACAACCUCUGCACUUCCACAGAAGGAAGUAAAUCACUUACCUAAAUUGGCCCUAACCCUAAAGCUAAAGUAUAUCAACAACCUCUACACUUUACGAGCCACGGUCCUCUGCUUGGUCGCGUGCUGUACUACUUUUUCCUCUACAGGAAGCCCCUUCUUCCUUCUUACCGCGUUAAUUAGUUUCCUCGCAGUAUUGGGAAGCACACUAGAACCGUCACCAAACUCCUCAAGUUCUUCUUCUGUUUUCGGUACAAAAGAAAGGAUCCUCUAGAAGUGCUUCCCAGUGACUAAGCACAAGAAGAGCACUUGCAGCACCAGCAGUCUGUCUUCUAAGCUCAUCCGCAAAACCAAAGCUUUCAGGAACUGUAUGAGCAAAUGAAAAGGUACCAACAUUAUUUUAGAGGCAUCACCCCCUACAAUCCAAGAAGAGUUGCUUUUGACAUUGCUGACAUCGGCCAAUGCUCUUCUUCCCACAUUUUUAUUUGCUAAGAUAAGGACAACAAAAAUUUGAAAGGAACUGGUUCAAGAUGUGUAACACAACUUUGCAUAACAAGUACAGUCUGGUUCAACCUUACACGCCGAACUACAAAGUAUGCCUUUUCGCUUCUUCAUACUUUUCAAACCAGCCUUGAUAACAAAACAAUUUACAGAUAGAAAGCAGUAAAUAUAUAAUUAAAACAAAAACUGCUUAUCACAAGAAAUAACACUCCAUCCCAAUCCCCCUUAAAACAAGCAGUGGAAUAUGAAUGUCGUCGGUUACCUUUAAAGCAGCUGUAUUCUCCAGAGUCGAUACUUUGUUAACUGCUGCAUUACUCCUGAAAUAAAAGCAGCACACAGAUAUAAUUCCCCUUACAAUCUAGGUAAUUGCCAAGAACUUGCAGGAAGUGGGCAGAUACGGCUAAUAUCUAUUACUUUUAGGCCUCUACUUAGCUACAUCAUUGUAAUACAAAUCCCAGAUUUAAAUUCUGGAAUGAAGGCUUAGUUGAUUUCAGUUCUAAAACAACUAAGACGUUGAUUAAAACCAUAACAUUCGAUAAUUGAAAUGAAAUUGCACAAAUUUAAAACUAAAAUUACCUGAUCCCGCCAUCAGCUUUGGCAGUGUCACUUUCUGUGUAAACCUUAAAGCUUGAGCCACCAACUGUUUAAAAUAUUGAAAAAGAACGUCAAAAGUCAAUAAAUCACCACCAUAAGAAGUUUAAACCAGCAGAAGAGCCAAUAAUUUCUAGAAAAACCGAGAGAAUUUCAAUCAAUCAAGACAAAAUUCACGAGAAAGCAACUUCCACAAAAGAAACCCAUAAUUAGACGACAGUAAUUCAAAUUUAAAAACGCAGCCCUAGUUGAAUUUGAUUGUUUGAAGAAAUUCGAUUUUUCAAGAGGUACAUGGAGACGACAGAUUGUUGGAUAGAUUCAUAGAAGCAAGCGUACCUUAAACGACGUCAUUUUGGAGAUAUCUCUUGCUCUUCUCGGAUUCUGACGGAAAGGACUGAGAACAGUCCACCGUUGCAGAGGUCUGACACAUCUUGUUAAAUCAGCGGUUUUUAUAUAUUUCGCUUUUUGAAAGACUCAUCCAAUUCUCUUAUUUCUACAACAUAUUAAUAUUUUACCCAUCAUAAAAAAUUAAUAACUAAAAGCGUUAUUUUCUCAUCGACCAUUAUUUCUAAAAUAACCUCUAAUGUUUCCUUAAUUGUUAUGAUCCUAGCUGCACCAGAACCUCCUCCCACCUCCAUAGAAAACAAAAACCUUUGACACAUACUUGGCGGCAUCUCUUUUGGAAAGAGAGAGAAACGGAAGGGGGGACGAAGAGAGCAUAGGGGACAAAGAGAGAGAAAUACGGGGAGAUUGCUCCAAUACAAAGGCAGAUUGCUCCAAACCGAUUUAGUCCAAUUGGAAUUGGGUAUUUUUUCGAUUUUAAAAUUUGAGUUGUCGUCGUUGUUUGUCUGUGAGGAAGAGAAAGAGAGGGUAUAGGAGGUAGUACCGAAAUUGAAAGUGUCAUCUCCAGGGCACUUAGUUGAGAGAGGAACACCACAUAGCGAUGGAUUUCCCAUAUAAAUGGACGAAAAAUUGAGUGUUUGAAGCCGGUUUCCCUAAGGAAUUCUCCCAGACAAGUUGUUGUAAGACAAGUUCAAGUGGUUUAAAAAUGUUAAAGAUGACAAGCUUUGAGGAAUCUAUCCUGAAAGGUGGUUGUGUGAGAGAUCAAGAGUUUCGAGCAAAUGCAAGUUUCCGAUCUUGGAGGGGAUCUUUCCAGUCAAUUGAUUCCUGGACAAUUUCAAGGUACCCAAUAGAAUGAGGCUACUUAUUUCUUCAGGGAUUUCACCUUGUAAAUUAUUUGAUGAAAGAUCAAUGCUCUUUACAAGAUCUAAAGUCUUGUUGUACACAAGUUUGCUUCCUUUUAGCGUCAAUGUGGCUUGCUCAAUAAAACUAGUAAAGUUUAUAGAUGAAGCAUUGACAAGUGAAGCCAAAUUAUCCAAACACUUAGGAAUAGUACCUGAAAUAUAUGUCCACUAAAAUAGUUGAACCGUAAUCGUAUCCGAUACAACACGGAUACAUUUGGUCCUCCUAUCCAUAGAGGUAUGUUACCAUAUAACUUGUUGUCUCCAAGAUCUAGACUUAUCAAAAUAGAACAAUUUUGCAACGAAUCAGGAAUUUCACUGCCAAAAUUGUUGUUGUUAAGCUUUAAUAUUUGCAGUGAACUUAAUACCCCCAAUGAAGUGGGAAUAUUACCAGAGAGAUUGUUCAUACUAACAUCUAGAAACCCCAGUUUGCUCCCCACACUCCAUGCAUGAGGCAAUUCUCCAUAAAUCUGAUUACUCCUUAGAGACAAGACUUCCAAUUGCUGCAUGUUGCAAACAGAGGGAGGAAUAGUGCCAGUCAAAUGAUUCUCAGAAAGUAACAAGGUUUUCAAAUUGGGCAUCAUUUGGUCAAUAUUGGAGGGAAUUGGCCCGAAAAAUAGAUUACUUUCAAGAUCAUGGUAAAUGGCAUUAGUGGACCACCAAAGUGGGAGUGGGCCCUCCAAUUGAUUAUGACUCAAAUCAAGAUACUCUAAUUUUGGAAAUUUCAAAUAGGAUGGAAGGUUUCCACGAAAUUGGUUGUAAGACAAGUCUAGUCGGAUGAGCUGGGCAUAAUUCUUCAAUAGCCAUUCCUCUGGUAUGGAAUCCGAGAUUUCAUUACCACUAAGAGUGACGUCGCCCAGUUCAGUUUGUGAUUGAAGCCAUACCCCAAAAUCAGGACCACACUACAAAAUUAAACGUCAUUAGCGAGGGUCAAAUGCUGUCGGAAAAGGUAAUUUGCCGUCACAAAUACUUAUUUCCGACAGGAAAAAGCCCUCACUGGGCGUCGGAAAUUGCUCCAUCGGAAAUACUUUUUUCUCGACCAGCCGUCGAAAAUGCUUCAUUUCCAAGGCAUGAGGCUCGUCGUUACUAGUUAUCUUUCCGUCGGAAAUGAAUUUUCAAAAUGACAAAAUUAUUUUAUUUUCGACAUGUCAAUAUGGUCGCAAAUACUUAUAUGCCCGUUGAAUAUACUUUCUAAACGACGACAUCUCUUUUUUCCAAUGAUUUUUUAUGACCAAAACAUUGUGUCAAAAAAUGUUUUUCCAAUAGUAAAAUGUUAUUUGCAAGAGUAUAUAAUCGUCGCAAUUACCAUUACUAACAAUUAAGAAUUGUCAAAAAUAUGCAUAAAAACAUAUUUAUGAGGGUCAAGAGGCGUUGGAAUUAUAUAUGGGCGAUUAUCCUAUUUGUCGGUAAAAAACAAAAGGAUACAAAUACAAUUUUUUUUUUAUAAGUUCAAUAAUAUUUUCAAUGGCAAUUUUUAUGGAAUGAAUUGUUUUAUAUUAAUGAAACCAUAUAUUCAACUACAUAUACCAAAAAUCAAUGUAAAAAAUUUAAAGUACUUGUUACAAUCCUAUGAUACGUCUUGUAACGCUAGUUUUCCAUGUCCGCUUUAACCAACCAUUGAGGAGUUCGAAUGUAGAAGCGCUUCAACAAUGAAAAUCCCACCUUCAUGACCUUGGCCAUGUUUGAUAUGUUUCUUUACCUGCAAUGACAGAGUAAAUGUUUAGCAGCAACCAAAUCCAUGUAAUUCAUUGGAACCGAAUGACCAAAAGCCUUGAGCAUUGAAAGAAAUUAGUUUUGAGACUAUUAAGGAUCAAAUAGCAAAAAGCCUUGAACAUUAUAUACUACAUUCGCGUUUGAAUGGUAUCCUUCAAACGUAAUUACUUUUUUCAACACAAUAGAACUCAUCCAAUAUGCAUUACACAAGACAGGGAACUUGAAUACUAAUAUGACCAUUAGAAGAGCUUCCAAGCAUUAAAGAUACUUUUAAUAAAUAAGCAUACUGUCUACAGACUAUCAACCACAUUACACUGGCCAAUUCCAAUUGCUCAAUGGUAGUCGUGAGAAAAAAGCAUAAACCCAAAAACAUGAUCGAACAUUUUUGUUGAGAUAAUCAUAGAGAUCAUCUACAAUCUCAACCGGAUUGGAGUGACCACAACAGAAUGGAUUUGUAAGAAGUUCUCUCAUGAAGAAAGAUGUUAUAAUAUUGAAUGAAACUAUAUAUAAAGUUGAUUAAAGAAUUGCAAGACAAAAUUAGUUAAACGAGAACAAUAUACCAAAUUACAAAUAAUAGGGCUGGACUAAUACCAGAUUGUUGCCUUCCACGAUGGCGUGCUUUUGAGAAGGAAUGACUCGCUUAAUGACACUCACCCUUGUCUUUGCCUUUUGUUAUCAUUACCUACAAAUGAGAUUAGAAAACUAUUAAUUAAUAAAUAACAGAUUAGAAAACUAUUAACACCCACCCUCGCUUGAUGACAACCACCCUUGUCUUUCUAACCCAUUUCAAAUUAAAACAGAUAUCCCCUGCAGAGCCAACAACAAACAACAUUACAACCAAAAUUUGUGGUAUUUCAAUGGCUGAUUAACAUCACACUCACAUCAAAUCUUAUAGCAUAAGAAACAACCCCAUUUCCUAAAAUAAGCAAGUGGUCUCAUCGAAUUUCCUGAUAAAUACAAUUUUCAAGGAAGAACUUGGAUUUACAAGUAAAGUAGCAAAUAACCCAGUUUCCAAACGCGUUCCAAAAUGUCAUAACCCUUUGAGAAAUUUCAUCAAACACUUGGUGGUCAUCCUACGCUUAACGAAAAAUUACAAGAAAAAACAGGUACUCACUGUUACAGAAGAAGCCGCGGACUUGGGUGCGCAGUCGACCGAAACUCAGCGCAGUUGUGGUGUGUAGCAAAGGAGCCCAUGGUUUUCCCUUCUAAAGUUAAGUUCAGAUCAACGAAUUUUGAGGGGUUUGUUGUUGCAGAGUAGAAGGGAGGACGAGUUCGCCAGGAACUCGCCGGGUUUGCAAUCAGAGAUGGUUUUGCUUUUGAUUUCGAAAAGGCGGAACUGGGCUCGGGUUUGCAGAGGUGGAAGCGUGUGGAAAUUUUUGGAUGAAGGCAGAGAUAGAGAGCAACGGAGAAGAUGGUGUUGAUUUUGAUGAACGAAAUGAAGGCUGGAGGCUAGGGUUUUGUUUAUGAAAAGGAAAGGCAGAGAAGCUACUUGAGAUAAGUGAAAAGGACGAGAGAGUGCUAAAGGGCACUGAGUGCUCUCUUUGGAAAUUGAGAGUUGAGUUUUUAGAGGUCCAUGCCAAAAUUUCUGCAGCCCACCAAAAUUUUAAGGCCUGUUUGGUAGUGUACUUGAAUCUAACCUUUUAAACUCAAAAAUAAUUUUCAAGUUUUAGGCUUUAAAAACUUGUUUGGUAGGACUAUUUUCAAAAACUGAACUCAAGACUAACUCAAAAAUAUAGUCUAUUCUCUAAAAACAUAAAAAUUGAGUUUUUAGAGUUUUUAAAUUUAAAUUCACUUCUUUCUUUUUUCUUCCUCAUCCCCUUUCACUUCAAAUCUAUCUCUCUUUUCUUCUUUCUCUCUCCUUUUUUUUUUAUCUUUUUCGUCUCUUCUCCAAUUCGCUCUCUUCAUUCUUUAGGUUCUUUUUUUCACCUAUCUUCCUCUUUAUCUCGUCUAAUUCUCUAUCUUCUUUCUUUUUCCUUAAAUCAUCUCUUACUUUCUUUCCUCCUCUCUCCUCUUUCUACAUCUCUUGCUACCCCCUCUUUUUACAUCUUUUUGUUAUAGUUUAAGUCGUAAGAUUUAAAAAUUAAAUUGGAAACUAAUCAAGUUUUUGAGUCUUCAAGAAAAUUGUUUUCAAGAAAUGUUCUUAAAAAAUGUUUUGAGAAAUGAUAAAAAUUUUCAAAUAGGAUACCAAACAGGCCCUUAGUCUCCCGCCUCCACCAAUUUUUUUUAAUUGUAUUGUAUAUAUGAUUCUUUUUUUUUUGGGUCCAAUGUAUGAUUAUAUUUGAAUUGAUUGUUUUAGGCGAUAUGUGUUCUACAAAACUAAUUUCAACGAUCCAAUCGUCAAAAUUGUUUGUGUAUACUCCGAUAUCACAUACGUCAAAAAUCGCAAGAAAUAAAUAUUCAGAGAUUUAAAAGAAAAAUCACGAUUUAACGGUUAUUUUAGCUCCUAUUAUGAUAACUUUUUGUAGCUACACUCCUCGACCCUAUAAGAAUACAAUGAAUGAAUUUGAUCUUCCAUUUAAAAUAUUUACACUAGUGGAUACCAAAAAAUCUUAUGUUAUACUUAAUAGAAGUAUAAAAUAAACUCAUAGUGUUUGUUGAAUCUAUCAUUUUGGCAGGAUACGCAUUAUAUGAAACUAGUUUCAGCGAUCCAACCCUCAAACUUGUUUGUAUAUACUCUGAUGUAGCAUAUGUCAAAAAUCGCAAACAAUAAACAUUUAGAGAUUAGGUAACGGAACGAAAUUUUCAACGGUGAUUAAUUAAAAAUCAUGAUUUAACGGUUAUUUUAGCUCCGAUUUUGAUAUUUUUUUUACAACUACACUCUUCGACCUUAUAAGGAUACAAUGAACUAAUUCGAUAUUCAAUUAAAAAUAUUUACACUAGUGGAUACCACAAAAUCUUAUGUUAUACUUAAUGGAAGUAUAAAAUAAACUCUAAGUGUAUGUUGAAUCUAUCGUUUUGAUGAGACACUCAUUCUACAAAACUAGUUUCAACGAUCCAACUGUCAAACUUAUUUGUAUAUACUCCGAGAUAGCAUACAUAAAAAAUCGCAAAAAACAAACAUUCAUAGAUUAGGUAAAGGGAAAAAAAAUUGACGGUUAUAAACGGAAAAUCACGAUUUUACGGUUAUUUUAGCUUCGAUUUUGAUUUUUUUUUUACAACUAUGCUCCUUUCCCUAUAAGAAUACAAUGAACUAAUUUGAUCUUCAAUUUAAAAUAUUUACACUAGUGGAUACCACACAAUCUAAUAUUUUUUUUCUAGUCAAUGAUCUUUUUCAACGACAACUAUAUGCCCUCAUAAAUAAAUAUCUAUUUUCGAGAGCCAUUGGUUGCCCUCGCAAAAUAGAUGGUUAUUUUUUAAGGCCUCUACUUCCUCUCGCAAAUACACAAUCAUUUCCGAGAACAAAUAAUCAUCAUCGAAAAUAGGGAAAUUACUACCGACGACCACUUGUUGCCCUCGGAAAUAAACAAUUACUUCCGACAACUAAAACAUGCCCUUGGAAAAAAUAAUACUUUACCGACGAAAAUAAGUUUCUUCGUAAAUAAAUGUGGCUCCAAAUUUUCCCUCAAAAAAAUAGCUAUUUCCAACGGCGAAGGAACCCUUUUCCAAGGGCAUUUUGGGUGUUGAAAAUAGUAAACCUCUUGUCGACAUAUUUCUGACGGAGCAUAAUUUUUGGUCGGAAAUAGCAAUUUUUACGAGGGUAUUUAUAGGUCCUCGGAAAAUGUUGGUAGCAAAUGACCAUUUUUUUUGUAGCGACAGUUUAUGAUAUUAAUUGUGUGUAGCUUGAAUGGAGGAAUCCAAUCAUAAGCCAUGUGGAAAAUGAGGGAGAUGGGCUGGUUUUUGUCUCCUACACUAAAAUCUUGUAACUGGGUAAGAUUUAUGAAAUGGGCUUUCGUUAGAAUGCCCUCCCAAAAAUUAGAAGACAGAUGGUGGGAAACUAGCUGAGAGAGUUGUCCCAAACUUUGUGGAAUGAAGCCGUUCAUAAAAUUAGAAUAGAGGUCCAAAGUUUUCAAGGACGACAAGUUUCCAAUGGAAUCUGGAAUUGAGCCGUUCAGAAAAUUAGAAGAAAGGUCCAAAGUUUUCAAGGAUGAUAAGUUUCCAAUGGAAUCUGGAAUUGAGCCGUUUAUGAUAUUAGAAGAGAGGUCCAAAGUUUCCAAGGAUGACAAAUUUCCAAUGGAAUCUGGAAUUGAGCCCCGCAAAUUGUUGUGAUGAAGAUUGAGAUUCUGCAAACUUUUAAACAUUCCUAAGGAGACUGGCAAUUGGCUUCCCAGCUCACAGUAAGCCAAAUCUAGUGACUCUAAUGCAAUAUUUGGACAAUUAUAGAAACUCCUCCAAAACUCUUCUAUCCCCCCAUUAAAUUCGUUGUGAGAAAGGCUUAAGACCUUUAGUUUGCACAAAUUUCCAAUGACUUUAGGAAUUUGACUUUUUAAGCUUGUAUAAGAUAAAUCAAGGUAUUCCAGAGAUUUGAAGUUUGCAAAUUCACUUGGGAAAGGAUCACCGAAAUCAUUAAAGGAUAGAUCAAGUGCUAUGAGGCUGGUAAGAUUAAAAAGUGAUGCCGAGUUAAUGCUCUGCAGUGAGAGUGAAAUGCUUUCAAUUUGGCAUGAAGAUAAGUGUAACUCUGCUAAUGAAGGAAGCAUAUUAACAGCAUACACCCAAUUGACUCCUAUGGUGCUAAGAUUCACAUUUCCAAGAUUAAGGUAUUUUAGAGAAGAGAGGCGAGAAAGCCAAUUCAAAUUUCUGGAAGUUAGGUCAUAGUUCGAAUUGAGGUCAAGAAAACUCAGGCUUGACAGGUUACCAAGAGAAGGGGGAAUCUCUCUCCCAAAUGACGUAGAGGAGAGAUUGGGAUAUUGUAGAGUUUUAAGGUCCCCAAAGAACUUAGGAAUUUGAUUGCUAUGAAAAUCAUUAUAGCUUAGGUCCAGGUAAUUUAAAUGUUUCAAGCUCAACAGAGAAGCAUUUCUCUUACCUCCCAAGCUAAACUUUUCAUACAUGUCCCACUCUUCAUACGGAUUCCGGAGGUCCAUCUUCACCACAUGACCGGUGCGGUUGUUGCACGAAACACCUUUCCAUUGACAGCAAUCGUGACCCACCCAAGAGGAAAGCCUACCAGAAGCAUCAACAAGAUGUCGUUUAAAGAUGAGAAGCGCUUGUCUUUCUUCGUCGAUGCAUGGAUUUGUUUUCACACUGCUUGAAAGUGCACCACCGGCCAAACAGAAACAGAGUUUAGUAGUACUCUGCAUGUAGGAAGAGGUCAAAAGAAAAAGAAGGAAAUAGUGAGCAAUACUGGGGUGAUAGUGGGUAUCCAUAUCACACACAAUUUUCUUUGCUAUGCUUUGGUGAGGGAUGAUGUUUAGCUUCUAAAUUCAAGAAUUUAUAGGAAUAGAUUAUCGAUGUAGAUCGGGGAGUUGCAACGAAAGUCGUCUGAUGGAGAAAAGAAAAAAGGGUAACUGAAAUGAAUGGAUUGUGUUUACAAGUUUGCGAUGGGUUCUAGAAAUCAUCAUGCCGUGGAGACUUUGAAUUAAGGGUCUUUGGAGUCCAUUAUGUGUUGUAGAAAUUCACAACCUAUCAUCUUAUUUAUUCUUCUUUUCCUGUACUAUAAAAUUACGAAAACGAAUUUAGAUAUGUUUUAUAUUUUGUUCGAAGGAAAACAGAUAUAGAUGUGUCAGGUUGAACAAGUUUGCAAGUCCAUCGCCUACACCACACUUGGUGGUACUCUCUACUUGGAUAUGACUGUUGUGUUGUUAAUUACAAAUUUUCUAAACAACGGAAUUGUUAUUAACACUCCAAAAUCGUCAUUGUCACAGAAGUCGCUUUCUCAUUUGUUUUUCACUAAUGAGAAUUACAGAGAUUUUUCUAUGGAAGUUUCCAUUAUUGCGUUCAAUUUGUCAUCUCAACCUAACUGAGAUGAUAGUGGCUGUCCAUUAUUACGCACAAUUUUCUUUGCCAUGCUUUGCUGGAAAUGAUGUUUUUGUUUCCUAUAAAUUGUAGAAGUAGUUCAAACGAAAGUCGUCUGAAGGAGAAAAGAAAAAAGGGCGGGUCUUCACAACCCAUUUUACAAGUUAGCAAAUCCAUUGUCGACACAGCUGGGACCUGAAGAUUUCUAAUUAACGGUCUUCAGCUAGGAACUGUUCUCUUCUUGUGGUGUAAAAUUAUGAAAACGGAUUUAGAAAUGUUUUGUGCCAACGAAAAUGGAUAUGUGUGUCGGUAUGAACAAGUUUGCAAGUCCAUCGCCUACUCCUCACUUGCUGGUACUCUACUUGGAUAUGACUGUCGUGUCGUUAUCCCUUUACAAUUUUCUAAACAACAGAAUUAUUAUUAACACUCCAAAAUAGUCAUUGUCAUACUAGUUGCCUUCUUAUUUGUUUUUUCACUAAUAGGAAAUACAUAUAUUUUUCUAUGGAAUUUUCCGAAUUCUGAUGAAGCCGUGUAGGAGCAGAUGAUAACGAAUGCAUGAUGGAGAUGGCUAGCCACGGAAGUCUUGGCACUCUAAUUAGUCUUUGGUGGAAAAUCCAUGUACAACGGAGACUCUGAAUAGUUAGUCUCCUCCAGCAUCUGUUAGAGAGUAGAAAAUAUAUCAUAAUUGACGACAACAAAGUCCAUUCAAGAACAAAACAAGCAAACAACUGAAAAAAAAAAAGACUUAAAACAAGAACAGAGAACAUUUGUUUGAAACUCUGUUUUGUAGCGACGAGAGGUAGAGAGACAUAAUUCUGAUGUUUGUUCAAUAACGCAGUAUUUUAAGUAAUUUGUCGUACCAACUUUCCGAAAUCGUUAAUUUGUCAUCUCACCCUAACUCCGUUCAAUUUGUCAUAUAACUAAUAUUGGACUAUCAUAUUUCGUUUCCUAUAGUUUGGACUUUGGAGUGUCCCUUAAGCCAACAUCACAGAGAAGGGGUUAUGUGACCGACUAUGACAUAGUAAUUUGGCUUUCUAUACACGUUUUCGUGUGAUAGUUGAAAACACUUAUCUUACAAAGCUUUUUUGGAAAGUGACUUUUACACAACAAUUUUAAUUUGUCACAUACUACUUUUUAUUUCUAACCAUUAAAUUGAAUAAAUCAAACAUAAUCAAUGGAUGUAUAAGAGCAUCUCUAGUGAAGUCUCUAAAUAAAGAUAACCAUUGUAUAAAAUGGGUAUCAAACAAAUAUAGGAACAAAAAUGAAUCUUCAAUGGAUCUGAAAGUGAGUCCCUAAAGUACAGGGACUCAUCGAAUACAUAGUGUAUGUCUCACAUAUAGGGAUUGUAUAGGGACAACCUUGAGUGAAAAACGAAACCCACAAUCUUAAUUGAAGCUUUUAAUGUUUUUAAUUAAUUAAAAAAUGGUUAAAAUAAACAAAAAAAAAAUGUGCACAUUGAGUGGAAAACUGGACUCACAAUCUUAAUUGAAGAUUUUAAUGCUUUUAAUUAUUUAAAAAAUGUUAACAUAAGCAAAAAAGGUGCUCCUAAUCAAAUUAUCACAUAAAAUCAUAAAAACUUCAAAUUUUAAGGACUCUACCAUUGGAGGCAAUAUUCCUUUAGAAACACAUAGAUUCCAUUUUAAGUCAUUAAAUGAGUACUCAAAAGUGGUGGUAGGAAUACCUAAAUAUGGACUUUCAUUGGAGAUACUUGUGUAUUUAUUAU
This 13102-nucleotide long non-coding RNA is filed under the name Malus domestica (apple). RNAcentral describes it as "long non-coding RNA (MDOM_LNC005244)". The record is from RNAcentral. Lineage: Eukaryota; Viridiplantae; Streptophyta; Magnoliopsida; Rosales; Rosaceae.